This 253-nucleotide ribosomal RNA is filed under the name uncultured bacterium. Its description in RNAcentral is "partial 16S ribosomal RNA". It matches the Rfam family "Bacterial small subunit ribosomal RNA", at positions 524 to 776 of the family's 1533-position model. The record is from RNAcentral.
UACGUAGGUGGCAAGCGUUGUCCGGAUUUACUGGGCGUAAAGAGCGCGCAGGCGGUCGUUCAAGUCGAGUGUGAAAGCCCCCGGCUCAACUGGGGAGGGUCACUCGAUACUGAUCGACUCGAAGGCAGGAGAGGGAAGUGGAAUUCCCGGUGUAGUGGUGAAAUGCGUAGAUAUCGGGAGGAACACCAGUGGCGAAGGCGACUUCCUGGCCUGUUCUUGACGCUGAGGCGCGAAAGCUAGGGGAGCAAACAGG